This 497-nucleotide ribosomal RNA is filed under the name uncultured bacterium. RNAcentral describes it as "partial 16S ribosomal RNA". It matches the Rfam family "Bacterial small subunit ribosomal RNA", at positions 28 to 507 of the family's 1533-position model. The record is from RNAcentral.
GAUGAACGCUGGCGGCGUGCCUAAUACAUGCAAGUCGAGCGAACGGACGAGAAGCUUGCUUUUCUGAUGUUAGCGGCGGACGGGUGAGUAAAACGUGGAUAACCUACCUAUAAGACUGGGAUAACUUCGGGAAACCGGAGCUAAUACCGGAUAAUAUUUUGAACCGCAUGGUUCAAAAGUGAAAGACGGUCUUGCUGUCACUUAUAGAUGGAUCCGCGCUGCAUUAGCUAGUUGGUAAGGUAACGGCUUACCAAGGCAACGAUGCAUAGCCGACCUGAGAGGGUGAUCAGCCACACUGGAACUGAGACACGGUCCAGACUCCUACGGGAGGCAGCAGUAGGGAAUCUUCCGCAAUGGGCGAAAGCCUGACGGAGCAACGCCGCGUGAGUGAUGAAGGUCUUCGGAUCGUAAAACUCUGUUAUUAGGGAAGAACAUAUGUGUAAGUAACUGUGCACAUCUUGACGGUACCUAAUCAGAAAGCCCCGGCUAACUACGUG